RNAcentral lists this ribosomal RNA (262 nucleotides) under uncultured bacterium. RNAcentral's name for it is "partial 16S ribosomal RNA". It matches the Rfam family "Bacterial small subunit ribosomal RNA", at positions 32 to 301 of the family's 1533-position model. The record is from RNAcentral.
AAUCAACGCUGGCGGCGUGCCUAACACAUGCAAGUCGCACGAGAAAGGGUAGCAAUACCUGAGUAAAGUGGCGCACGGGUGAGUAACACGUGACUAAUCUACCCUCGAGUGGGGAAGUAACUGAGAGAAAUCUUAGCUAAUACCGCAUAACACUUACGAGUCAAAGCAGCAAUGCGCUUGGGGAGGAGGUCGCGGCAGAUUAGCUAGUUGGUGGGGUAAGUGGCCCACCAACGGCAAUGAUCUGUAUCCGGCCUGAGAGGGC